Acromyrmex echinatior (Panamanian leafcutter ant) is the source of this 463-nucleotide long non-coding RNA. Lineage: Eukaryota; Metazoa; Arthropoda; Insecta; Hymenoptera; Formicidae. The record is from RefSeq and is a predicted model, not a curated record.
UACAGUGCAACCAGCGCCAUAAAAUUACAAUAUCAGUGGUAUUCUUGGUCUUGAUGAUGGUAAUGUGUGCAAUGUUCGAGGGAUCUGAAUCCUUCGGUUUUACAAUCGUUGCGGAUGUCGUAGACGAACCACAACACCAACAACAAUAACAACGACAUCAUCAUCUACAACGUAACCAUCAGAGUUUAUCAAGGCCACUACAUAGCGGCGUAAUAACCAGAAAUAAAUUGAAUCUUAUGCCUAUCUAGUGAAAUAGACUAGUGAAAUAGUUCUAAUGAAAUAGAAAAGUUGUACAGAACUGUCUAAUUUUUUAGUUCAUUGUUAAUCGGUAAUGUAAUGCUGCUCACUUCUUCUACCAAAAAAUUAGCUAAGGCUAGGAAUAAAAAAUUAAUUAGUAAGUAGUCUAUCCUGGACCACAUAGCGACUAAAUAGCAAAUAAAAAUAAAAUAAAAUAUUUAUCUUC